CAGGAGCCCUCCGUGGCAGUGCUUGGGUGUCCAGGCUCUGAGGCUAAGGCCUCAUCUCUCCUCGGGGUCGAAGGGAACGUCUCCGGAUACCAGGAGUCACAGUGGGCCAACCAUGAUGAUGAAACCCCAGGCGGAGACGGGGGAAGCAGCACGGGAUCCCAGCCUCAGGCCUUCACGGACGGUGAUGGUUGGGGAGAGCAGCGGAUCCACGCCAGAGAAGACGCUUGUAUAUUUUCACGGCUCUUCUCUGAGAAAUGAAGCCACUCCAUGAUACAGUCAGCUAGAGGAAGCCGGGAAUGGGAGAUGGCAACAAUCCCUAUCACUGGAACGCUGGCCUCUCUGGACAAGCCACCCUUUUGGAACCCCACCCCUUACGCCCGUGGCGGUGGCACGGUGCUGAACAGUGGUUUCCUCUAGGAAUGAAAUGGGAUGAUGGAAGACCUGGGGAGCCGUGUCAGGAGGAGACACUCAUGAUGCGCCUUUUGGCCAUAGUCACUGUCAUGGCUAAGAAAGCAACUCCAACCCACACACUGCAAAUAUGAAGGACCACGAAAGGCACGCA
Molecule: long non-coding RNA, 562 nt
Organism: Gorilla gorilla gorilla (western lowland gorilla)
Lineage: Eukaryota; Metazoa; Chordata; Mammalia; Primates; Hominidae
Exons: 4
Source: RefSeq, a predicted model, not a curated record